RNAcentral lists this ribosomal RNA (715 nucleotides) under uncultured bacterium. RNAcentral's name for it is "bacterial SSU rRNA". It matches the Rfam family "Bacterial small subunit ribosomal RNA", at positions 104 to 805 of the family's 1533-position model. The record is from RNAcentral.
GGGUGAGUAACACGUGGGUAACCUGCCCUAAAGUCUGGGAUACCACUUGGAAACAGGUGCUAAUACCGGAUAACAACAAUAGCUGCAUGGCUAUUGCUUAAAAGGCGGCGAAAGCUGUCGCUAAAGGAUGGACCCGCGGUGCAUUAGCUAGUUGGUAAGGUAAUGGCUUACCAAGGCGACGAUGCAUAGCCGAGUUGAGAGACUGAUCGGCCACAUUGGGACUGAGACACGGCCCAAACUCCUACGGGAGGCAGCAGUAGGGAAUCUUCCACAAUGGGCGAAAGCCUGAUGGAGCAACGCCGCGUGAGUGAAGAAGGUUUUCGGAUCGUAAAGCUCUGUUGUUGGUGAAGAAGGAUAGAGGUAGUAACUGGCCCCUAUUUGACGGUAAUCAACCAGAAAGUCACGGCUAACUACGUGCCAGCAGCCGCGGUAAUACGUAGGUGGCAAGCGUUGUCCGGAUUUAUUGGGCGUAAAGCGAGCGCAGGCGGAAAGAUAAGUCUGAUGUGAAAGCCCCCGGCUUAACCGAGGAAUUGCAUCGGAAACUGUGUUUCUUGAGUGCAGAAGAGGAGAGUGGAACUCCAUGUGUAGCGGUGGAAUGCGUAGAUAUAUGGAAGAACACCAGUGGCGAAGGCGGCUCUCUGGUCUGUAACUGACGCUGAGGCUCGAAAGCAUGGGUAGCGAACAGGAUUAGAUACCCUGGUAGUCCAUGCCGUAA